UACGGGGGGGGCAAGCGUUGUUCGGAAUUACUGGGCGUAAAGGGCUCGUAGGCGGCCAACUAAGUCGGAUGUGAAAUCCCCAGGCUUAACCUGGGAACUGCAUCCGAUACUGGAUGGCUUGAAUCCGGGAGAGGGAUGCAGAAUUCCAGGUGUAGCGGUGAAAUGCGUAGAUAUCUGGAGGAAUACCGGUGGCGAAGGCGGCAUCCUGGACCGGCACUGACGCUGAGGCGCGAAAGCUAGGGGAGCGAAUGGG
Molecule: ribosomal RNA, 253 nt
Filed under: uncultured bacterium
Lineage: Bacteria
Description: partial 16S ribosomal RNA
Rfam family: Bacterial small subunit ribosomal RNA
Source: RNAcentral